RNAcentral lists this ribosomal RNA (443 nucleotides) under uncultured bacterium. RNAcentral's name for it is "SSU rRNA". It matches the Rfam family "Bacterial small subunit ribosomal RNA", at positions 26 to 518 of the family's 1533-position model. The record is from RNAcentral.
AGAACGAACGCUGGCGGCAGGCCUAACACAUGCAAGUCGAACGCAACUUCGGUUGAGUGGCGCACGGGUGAGUAACGCGUGGGAACCUGUCCUGUGGUACGGAAUAACAUCGGGAAACUGGUGCUAAUACCGUAUAUCCCCUGAGGGGGAAAGAUUUAUCGCCAUAGGAGGGGCCCGCGUAGGAUUAGCUAGUUGGUGAGGUAACGGCUCACCAAGGCGACGAUCCUUAGCUGGUCUGAGAGGAUGAUCAGCCACACUGGGACUGAGAUACGGCCCAGACUCCUACGGGAGGCAGCAGUGGGGAAUAUUGGACAAUGGGCGAAAGCCUGAUCCAGCCAUGCCGCGUGUGUGAUGAAGGCCUUCGGGUUGUAAAGCACUUUCGCACGUGACGAUGAUGACGGUAACGUGAGAAGAAGCCCGGCUAACUUCGUGCCAGCAGCCGC